RNAcentral lists this ribosomal RNA (279 nucleotides) under uncultured bacterium. RNAcentral's name for it is "partial 16S ribosomal RNA". It matches the Rfam family "Bacterial small subunit ribosomal RNA", at positions 506 to 784 of the family's 1533-position model. The record is from RNAcentral.
UGCCAGCCGCCGCGGUAAUAUGGAGGGUGCAAGCGUUGUUCGGAAUUAUUGGGCGUAAAGCGCGUGUAGGCGGUUCGUUAAGUCAGGUGUGAAAGCUCGGGGCUCAACCCCGGAAGUGCACUUGAAACAGCAAGACUUGAAUACGGUAGAGGAGAGAGGAAUUCCUGGUGUAGAGGUGAAAUUCGUAGAUAUUCGGAAGAACACCAGUGGCGAAGGCGACUCACUGGACCAUUAUUGACGCUGAGGUGCGAAAGCGUGGGGAGCAAACAGGAUUAGAUA